This 942-nucleotide ribosomal RNA is filed under the name Curtobacterium sp. RNAcentral's name for it is "bacterial SSU rRNA". It matches the Rfam family "Bacterial small subunit ribosomal RNA", at positions 555 to 1495 of the family's 1533-position model. The record is from RNAcentral. Lineage: Bacteria; Bacillati; Actinomycetota; Actinomycetes; Micrococcales; Microbacteriaceae.
UGGGCGUAAGAGCUCGUAGGCGGUUUGUCGCGUCUGCUGUGAAAUCCCGAGGCUCAACCUCGGGCUUGCAGUGGGUACGGGCAGACUAGAGUGCGGUAGGGGAGAUUGGAAUUCCUGGUGUAGCGGUGGAAUGCGCAGAUAUCAGGAGGAACACCGAUGGCGAAGGCAGAUCUCUGGGCCGUAACUGACGCUGAGGAGCGAAAGCAUGGGGAGCGAACAGGAUUAGAUACCCUGGUAGUCCAUGCCGUAAACGUUGGGCGCUAGAUGUAGGGACCUUUCCACGGUUUCUGUGUCGUAGCUAACGCAUUAAGCGCCCCGCCUGGGGAGUACGGCCGCAAGGCUAAAACUCAAAGGAAUUGACGGGGGCCCGCACAAGCGGCGGAGCAUGCGGAUUAAUUCGAUGCAACGCGAAGAACCUUACCAAGGCUUGACAUACACCGGAAACGGCCAGAGAUGGUCGCCCCCUUGUGGUCGGUGUACAGGUGGUGCAUGGUUGUCGUCAGCUCGUGUCGUGAGAUGUUGGGUUAAGUCCCGCAACGAGCGCAACCCUCGUUCUAUGUUGCCAGCGGGUUAUGCCGGGGACUCAUAGGAGACUGCCGGGGUCAACUCGGAGGAAGGUGGGGAUGACGUCAAAUCAUCAUGCCCCUUAUGUCUUGGGCUUCACGCAUGCUACAAUGGCCGGUACAAAGGGCUGCGAUACCGUAAGGUGGAGCGAAUCCCAAAAAGCCGGUCUCAGUUCGGAUUGAGGUCUGCAACUCGACCUCAUGAAGUCGGAGUCGCUAGUAAUCGCAGAUCAGCAACGCUGCGGUGAAUACGUUCCCGGGCCUUGUACACACCGCCCGUCAAGUCAUGAAAGUCGGUAACACCCGAAGCCGGUGGCCUAACCCUUGUGGAAGGAGCCGUCGAAGGUGGGAUCGGUGAUUAGGACGAAGUCGUAACAAG